GACGAACGCUGGCGGCGUGCCUAAUACAUGCAAGUAGAACGCUGAAGGAGGAGCUUGCUUCUCUGGAUGAGUUGCGAACGGGUGAGUAACGCGUAGGUAACCUGCCUGGUAGCGGGGGAUAACUAUUGGAAACGAUAGCUAAUACCGCAUAAGAGUAGAUGUCGCAUGACAUUUGCUUAAAAGGUGCAAUUGCAUCACUACCAGAUGGACCUGCGUUGUAUUAGCUAGUUGGUGAGGUAACGGCUCACCAAGGCAACGAUACAUAGCCGACCUGAGAGGGUGAUCGGCCACACUGGGACUGAGACACGGCCCAGACUCCUACGGGAGGCAGCAGUAGGGAAUCUUCGGCAAUGGACGGAAAUCUGACCGAGCAACGCCGCGUGAGUGAAGAAGGUUUUCGGAUCGUAAAGCUCUGUUGUAAGAGAAGAACGAGUGUGAGAGUGGAAAGUUCACACUGUGACGGUAUCUUACCAGAAAGGGACGGCUAACUACGUG
This 495-nucleotide ribosomal RNA is filed under the name uncultured bacterium. RNAcentral's name for it is "partial 16S ribosomal RNA". It matches the Rfam family "Bacterial small subunit ribosomal RNA", at positions 28 to 507 of the family's 1533-position model. The record is from RNAcentral.